AACGAACGCUGGCGGCAUGCCUAACACAUGCAAGUCGAACGAAGGCUUCGGCCUUAGUGGCGCACGGGUGCGUAACGCGUGGGAAUCUGCCCCUCGGUUCGGAAUAACAGUUAGAAAUGACUGCUAAUACCGGAUGAUGACUUCGGUCCAAAGAUUUAUCGCCGAGGGAUGAGCCCGCGUAAGAUUAGGUAGUUGGUGGGGUAAAGGCCUACCAAGCCGACGAUCUUUAGCUGGUCUGAGAGGAUGAUCAGCCACACUGGGACUGAGACACGGCCCAGACUCCUACGGGAGGCAGCAGUGGGGAAUAUUGGACAAUGGGGGGAACCCUGAUCCAGCCAUGCCGCGUGAGCGAUGAAGGCCUUAGGGUUGUAAAGCUCUUUCGCCAGGGAAGAUAAUGACGGUACCUGGAAAAGAAGCCUCGGCUAACUCCGUGCCAGCAGCCGCCGUAA
RNAcentral lists this ribosomal RNA (449 nucleotides) under uncultured bacterium. RNAcentral's name for it is "partial 16S ribosomal RNA". It matches the Rfam family "Bacterial small subunit ribosomal RNA", at positions 29 to 523 of the family's 1533-position model. The record is from RNAcentral.